AUGGUGGAUUACCGCCGCAUGGGAAUUAUGGAGCAGCACUACUCGCGGAAUGCAACAUCAACAACAUCCUUCCUGCAUCAGCUGAGAGGUCUGUGGAAGAGCCCAAGGGGGACGGUACUUCGUGUAGAGGCUUUGGCACUGGCGGCUAUUGCCUUCUCUUUCUUGCUUGUUGCAUUGGGAGCCUGCCGCCGUUGGUCUAAGCGCUGGAUCAUCCAAAAAGGCUUCUUGGCUGCAAAUGUGUUAUCUAUAUCCCUUGGGACAUACAGUAUUGGUCUAAUGCAAUCCUCUUCGGUGAAGAGCGAGAUGUAUCCCGUAUGGGCCGUGUCCUUGCUCACCCUCUUCGGCUGCGUCGACCCAGUUACUUCCUACAACGGUCUUGACUACAAGGGCCCACUCUCAAAGAUGAUAUUUCAGCUCUGCCUAUAUUGUGGAUAUGUCCUGCUGAUGAGUAUCUCAACCAUCUCCAGUGAUGUUGGUAACAUAGCCAUCGGUGUGCUGUCUGCUGUCAACUUUUUCAAGGGCUUUCAUAGGUCGUUGGCGCUUGUGCUGCCAAGAAGAAUGCGAAAAAUGAUAAGGCACCUUAAAUCUGAUGCCGAAACAAAUGCUAUAUCAGAUCUUGAUGAUUAUGACUAUGCAAUAGUAUCAGACUUGGUAGUUGAUUUCCCCCUAGACAUGGAUGACCCAAAGCAGAGCUUUUAUUCAAUAUUAGUGCGUGAUGGAGUUUUGAGGAAUAAUAUCAGUUCGAGCUGCGAAGACAUGGUUAAGCUACGGAUAAAUGUCGGUGACUGUCAUGAUGUGUGCACUGCCUUCGCUCUGUCUCAUUUGUUGCAACGGCAUUUCAUUGGAUUGAGUGACGCUUCGGAAAGGAAGAACGAUAUUUCAUAUCAGAUUGCUUCAGACUUCAAUCGAGCCUUUAAGGUGAUUGAGGUUGAGCUGGCUUUUCUAUACGAUAUCUUCUUCACAGGUAAUGCAUUCCUUCACUACUAUCAAGCAAAGACUGCUAGUUUCUGGGCAUUCGCUUCAUUCAUCGGAAUAUGUUUUGUUGGGGUGGCGGCUGCCAUCCCUGGGACGAUGACUAGCCGCCAUAGUGCUUCUCUUGGUCCUGGUGCUGGCACCAUCACGACAGCAGAUCUCACCGUUACUCUUGUCAUAUUGGUGUCCCUGGCUCUGCUGCAAUUGUUGCAACUAAUCCGGUGCUGGACAUCAAAUUGGGCGAGAGUUGCAUUUGCCUGUGGGCACGCCAGGAACAUGCAGAAAGGAACCAGACAGCCGCUAUGGUGGAUGAGAUUGAAAGGGUUUCUAGUCACCAGGAUUAAUUGGUUUGACAAAUACCUGUGGCAAGAUGAGCUCGGCCAGCAUUCAGUAAUUGAAGCGAGCAGCAGGAAAGAAGGCAAGCUGUUAUUCAGCCGGAGUGGCCGUCUUUAUGUGAAGUGUGCUCGCUUUCUUCGGAUGGUUGGAUUGCAGUACGUUGGAGAGGUGGUCUGGGAACUGGUGGGCAGCGACAGUAGCACAGGGCCUGCUGUUAGGUUGCACCCCGAUGUGAAGGGCUCCAUUGCCGAGCUCCUUGGUCGGGUUCAUAAUGAUACAAUAGGGGAGAGUUGGUCGUCCUUGUUUGUUGCUAAUGGAGUAGAUGAAUGGCACCUUCCCCAUUGGCAUUUCGACAAUCCUGCAGGUGCAGAACAGCUCUCAUAUUGCUGUUUGUACACACGUUCUGUUAUGAUGUGGCAUGUUGCGACAUGCUACUGCGAACUAGCAGAGCAGGCGAAGCAGAAGGAGCACACAGGAGCAGAAGAAAAGAGUCGGCGCGUGGCCCUGGCUCUGUCCAAGUAUUGCGCCCACUUGCUGGUGUCAGCGCCAGAGUUGCUACCUGGCACGCUUCAGAAAAGGAAAGAAACGUAUGAUGGUGUUGAGUCGGAAGCAAGGAAAGUUCUUCAAGGGGCCAAAGACAAGCUUGAGGCAAUGCAAAGCGAACCCCAUAUCGAUCUCGACAGCCCUAGCAGCAUCUUCUGGGACGGUGUGCGUCUUGCAAAGCAACUUUUUUGUGGGGACAUUGGGGAUCCCUGGAAGCUGCUGGAAGUUUUCUGGGUCCAGGCGUUGCUCUACGCCGCGCCGUAUGGCGACGUGGAGGUGCAUAUGCAGCAUCUCUCGCAGGGUGGCGAGCUCAUCACCCAUCUCUGGGCAUUGUUGUACCACGCCCACAUCUACGGCUGGAAAACUGUAGAGAGAUGGGGAGGGAAGCCGAUGAAGUUGGAGACCGAGGAGGUAGAAGAGAAUCCCAAGGAUGGUGGACAGUUCAAGGGUGACCUUAACACCUGUUCAAAAGCAGAUGAUAAUCCGAGGGGUUCAAUUCCUCUUCAAAGUGCCACCGGCAUAGAAGAGAACUCCAUGGACAUGGAUUCCGAGGUUGAGAUCGAGGAUGACAUCAGUUCCUGUUCAAAAGAUGAUAAUCCGAAUAGGAUUUCAGUUCCUGUGCAAGCUGACAUCCGAUGGAUGUAG
RNAcentral lists this ribosomal RNA (2496 nucleotides) under Triticum aestivum (bread wheat). RNAcentral describes it as "partial small subunit ribosomal RNA". The record is from RNAcentral. Lineage: Eukaryota; Viridiplantae; Streptophyta; Magnoliopsida; Poales; Poaceae.